RNAcentral lists this ribosomal RNA (1465 nucleotides) under uncultured Candidatus Saccharibacteria bacterium. RNAcentral describes it as "bacterial SSU rRNA". It matches the Rfam family "Bacterial small subunit ribosomal RNA". The record is from RNAcentral. Lineage: Bacteria; Candidatus Saccharimonadota.
GAUGAACGCUGGCGGCGUGCCUAAUACAUGCAAGUCGAGCGGUAAGGUUCUGCACUCAGUAUUUGACCUGAUAUUUAUCAGAAAAAUCAUCUUCAUGGCUGAAGAGGGUUGUCGAAUUAUGAGUGUAGAAUACACGAGCGGCGGACGGCUGAGUAACGCGUAGGAAUGUACCCCAAAGUGAGGAAUAACUGCCCGAAAGGGUGGCUAAUGCCGCAUGUGAUCUACGGAUUAAAGGAUUUAUCCGCUUUGGGAGCAGCCUGCGUAAGAUUAGCUUGUUGGUGAGGUAAAAGCUCACCAAGGCGACGAUCUUUAGCUGGUCUGAGAGGAUGUCCAGCCAGACUGGGACUGAGACACGGCCCAGACUCCUACGGGAGGCAGCAGUAGGGAAUUUUCCACAAUGGACGAAAGUCUGAUGGAGCAACGCCGCGUGCAGGAUGACAGCCUUCGGGUUGUAAACUGCUUUUGUGGGUGAAGAUUUAAGACAGUAACUCAAGAAUAAGGGUCGGCUAACUACGUGCCAGCAGCCGCGGUCAUACGUAGGACCCAAGCGUUAUCCGGAAUUACUGGGCGUAAAGAGUUGCGUAGGUGGUUUACUAAGCAGAAUAUGAAAGCGUACGGCUCAACCGUAUAUCCGUAUUCUGAACUGAUAAACUAGAGGGCGAGAGAGGUUAUUGGAAUUUCUUGUGUAGGAGUGAAAUCCGUAGAUAUAAGAAGGACACCGAUGGCGUAGGCAGGUAACUGGCUCGCACCUGACACUAAGGCACGAAAGCGUGGGGAGCGAACGGGAUUAGGUACCCCGGUAGUCCACGCUGUAAACUAUGGAUGCUAGCUGUUGGUCGUAUCGACCCGAUCAGUAGCGAAGCUAACGCGUUAAGCAUCCCGCCUGUGGAGUACGAGCGCAAGCUUAAAACAUAAAGGAAUUGACGGGGACCCGCACAAGCGGUGGAGCGUGUUGUUUAAUUCGAUGGUAAGCGAAGAACCUUACCCAGGCUUGACAUCCUUGAAAGGACUACGAAAGUAGACUGUGCCUUUUGGAAUCAAGUGACAGGUGUUGCAUGGCCGUCGUCAGCUCGUGUCGUGAGAUGUUUGGUUAAGUCCAUCAACGAGCGCAACCCUUGUAGUUAGUUGAAUUUUUCUAGCUAGACUGCCCUGGUAACAGGGAGGAAGGAGGGGAUGAUGUCAGGUCAGUAUUACCCUUAUGCCUGGGGCUACAAACACGCUACAAUGGCCGGUACAAAGGGCAGCUAACCCGCGAGGGGGUGCUAAUCCCAUCAAAGCCGGUCUCAGUUCGGAUUGCAGGCUGAAACCCGCCUGCAUGAAGCUGGAAUCGCUAGUAACGGUAAGUCAGCACAUUACCGUGAAUACGUUCCCGGGUCUUGUACACACCGCCCGUCAAACCAUGAAAGUCGCCAAUGCCUGACGUCCUAGCUUGUCUAGGCCUAAGGUAGGGGAGAUGAUUGGGGUU